This is a long non-coding RNA of Vicugna pacos (alpaca), 1332 nucleotides long. RefSeq lists it as uncharacterized. Lineage: Eukaryota; Metazoa; Chordata; Mammalia; Artiodactyla; Camelidae. The record is from RefSeq and is a predicted model, not a curated record.
CGCCGCGCGGAGGCUGCACCUCGGGUUCGCUCUUCGAUGUCCGUGCCUCGGUUGUCGCAGCUUCGCCGACGGUCUCACUGCGCUGGGCUCCCUCCUGGGCAGUGGAGCAGGAGGACUUCGCGGGCAGGGGGCAUCAUCUCUUCCUAGAGAUGAACUGCGCGCAUGAAGAGGGGUGCUUGGGGUCCACUCCCCUCUGCCCGCGUUUGAGGGGCAGUGAAUCAUAGUGAGCCAUAGUGAUUACAGCUCAGGGGGCCGUGGGUUCGUAUGUAAGCUCUGCUUAGCUGCCAAGGCCCUGGGCAAACCGACUCAUCGUCUUGCCUAGAUAAAAUAAUUUGGAAAACCUAGAGCAAAAUGCUCCCUUAAAACUAGCACACGCAUAGAACACAGUAGACAACCCGGAGAUACAUACUGGCAGAUUUAGAAUGCUUUCCUGCUUAUUGGCUCUGGGAGAGAAAUGGCAAAUGGACAGAAAACCAACCUCCGUAGACGUGUAUAAGAAAUCAAGAGUUUUCUAAGACUAUAACCUGAAAGUCCUAUGUCUGCCUUCUAUAGGUUCACCUUUGGGGAUUUCAGACUUUCGGUGCUGUUGGAGUCCUCCGCCGGAGUUGGGUCGGAUUCCACCGCUUCAGGCUCCGUGUAAUACUCCUCUUCUCUAUCUGGGAAGCUUGCUCCAGCGCUGUCCAGAGAGAAGAGGCUCUCCCGGAGAUUGCACCUGGAGUCCUCCUCCCCUCCAGCCCCGCAGGUGCCGCCGCUGGGCUCUGAGCUCAGUCUGUCCUCGGCUUCCCCAGGGAUCACAGACAACAUCACCAUGUGGUCGCCAUCUGCGUCCAGCCCCAGCACUGCAUCGGCCUCUUCUCUGGGUGUGUCCUGGCCCACUGGAGGCUCCUCCUCACUCAUGUACACAGCCCCCACCUGGAAUGGGUAUGCAGGCUGCUCCUCUGCCCAUAAGUGACCUCUUUUCUCUGCAACCAAAGCACACCAGCAUGUUCACAGUCGUGUAUGACUUCAAAAUAAAUGAGUCCAAAAGAAUUACAGUUUUCAAGUAUGAAAUUUUCUCCUACAGAGAAAAAAGUUACCUUCCCAUUAAACUAUCAGAGAGCCACCCAGCAUUCUCCAAGUCUUGAAGAAAAUCACAAGGAGGUACUAGAUUAAUGAAUGCCAAUAAGUGGAAAAAUACAUAACUUCAUGUAAAACCCACUGCUUGCCAUGUGGAUUAUAAGCAAAAACAUUCCAGUGCAGACAUCCAAUUAGGAAAAUAUAAUACAAACACCUUAACAGUUUCACUUGUUUGAUGUCAAUAUCCAAGAAAAUAAAUGAUGGCUUUAUGGAAAA